UGGAGGGGGCUCUUGUUUACCAUGUGGCAUAGGGCAACCCAGCAUACCAAGGGCGUCUCAGAUGCCAUUGUGAUUUAUUUGUAAGUUUUUGCACAUUUCCUCAGAACAAUUUGCCAAUGUAAAAUAUUGCAUAAUCUAGCCUGUUUAGUCGGUUUAAUUUGUGACACAAGCUGAACAAAUGGGUAAUGAAUCUUGACAUAUGAAACUUUAUUUGACAAAACAACAACAUUGUGCAUACAAAUCUAAGCUAAAAAGGCACAAUGAUUUUAAGCAUAUGAAAAAUCAAGAUCUAGUGGACAUAUAAUGGUGACUGAGGAGAAAAUGCAAGCUUCAUUGACGGCACACCACUCAUAAGAUGUAGCUCAUAAUGAAGGCCGCGGGGAGCACAUUUGCUGAACUAUCCCCUUAUGUGCUCUUGUGCGAUGGGGCGGAAGCGACGCACCGUCUUCGUUCGGCUCUUCUAUUUUUGUGGUGGUGGAGUCAUUGGCUUUUCAGAGCUCACCGACAUCGACGGCUUUGGUGCCGGAGGCAUUCUCCUCUGCCGUUUCAUCGGCACACCAACUUUCGGCGCUUUUUUUGGGUGCUUUCCUAGCACACUAACCUGCGCCGACACAUUUGAGGUGGACAAAGCAACCAAGAUUGCCAGGAUGGCGAAGAUCUUGAACAGCUUCAUUUUGGCCCAAAAACGCUUUGCUCUGAGUGAUAUCUCGUGAGCUCAACUUAUAGUGCAGACGGUGGUUGACUAAUUCAUUCGUAAUUUGCUUGGAAAGUGGUGAAAACUUGGACGGUUGACUUGGCUUGCACUUGCUUGGAAAACCCGGUCAGGUCACGCGUUUAACACCGCCUAGAUCGGAAGCCACACAUGGCUUGUCUGCUAUCCAAUGUCUAUUGGAACAGUGAAACAUAUAGUAGUACUAAUUGAGAUGCAUUUGCACGAGGAAGGCUAAGGGAAACGAAGAAAGAAAAGGGAAGGUGGCUCUCGCUCGAAAUUUUCGCUAGGGAUUUCAUGUUCCGGCGUUUUAAUUUGGCGACGUUGCUUGCAAAACAUGUGUGGAUAUUCUGGGCCACGACGCUAGCUCGUAACAAGAGUGUAUUUUGUGCUAUCAAAUAUUCCUAUAUCGGUUGUGUGAUUUGUGUCUAGCUAUGCAAUGCUCGGAGCUAGUUCAGCUUGUUAGGAUGAUCUCUUUUCCAUGUGGGCCCAACGGCCCACCGGAACCUUGACUCGUGUUCUGAUAAGAGACGUCCAACCAAAUUAUGGUUGGUGGGCCCUUGUCGUCGCGCUAUAUAAAGAGGUGGGGUGCCGGACGCACACGGUACGAGGUUCAUCGUGCGUUGCAGCCCCCACCAACAAUCCCUAUCGAUCUAGGGUUAGCGCAGUCCGACGAGAAGCACCACCGCCGCCACUAUUCACGCGCACACGCUCACCGCUGUCACUCUCCAACCAUUGCAUCAGGCUCGGGAUCCUCGAGCCAAGGAGAAGGUAUACUCGAUCUCCUCCUCUGACUAUUGCGAAUCCCCUACCCAUGCGAUCCAGAGGAUCUAUCAAUGGUAUCAGGCAGUUUUUGGUGUAGGAUUUUCGGUAGAAAAUAGAAAGAAAAUCCUCUCCCUUAACCGAAGAACCCUAGAAGGGCAUAGAAGACACAUCAAAAGAAAAGGGCUCACCGGAGUAGGGCUUUGCGCCCGUCGGCAAAGAACGUCGCCGCAAGGCCGCACUAGUUCCUCUCGAUCUCGUAGCGCAUCGUUAAGCCGAGGCUCGGGAAGAAGAACCACCCCAACGGGGCAAAGGGCACCGCCGCUGUGCCGCUUGACGGCAGCGCGCUCCCCUUUGGGAGUUCGCGCACAUUGGCAAGGGGGACAAGGGAGGCGCCGACGCAUCUGAGAGUGGAGGGUCUCGCGACGCUCUCGCGUCUCUCGCUCUCUACCAGAAGGGUGGAAAGAAAGGGAAGAAACGGAGAGAGAGAGAGAAGGGGAAGGGGAGGCUCGCGCGGCGCGGCAGUUCGCCGUUGUCGCCGGCAGCCGGCAUCACCCUAGCCCCGCUGCCAUGCCUUGCUGCGGGCAAGAGAUCCCUGCGAAGAGAGGCUAAAGAAGUUGGGGGUAGCAAAGGCGCGCCUGGCGCGGUGGUCAACGACCCCGUCGCCAGUGGCCGGACUGUGCAUCACCGAUGGCCAUCCGCCGCCGCUGCGGAGAGAGCAGAGAGAGGGUGGAGCACGCGGGGCUAGCAGGCCUUGGGCCAGCGGGAGCAGCUUAACCGGUCACGCGUUUAGCCCAACCUAGAUCGAAGGUCACACAUGGCUUAUCUGGUAUCCAAUGUCUACUGAAACAGUGAAACAUAUACUUCCUCUGUCUUAAAAUAAGUGUCUUAACUUUGUACUAGUUUUAGUAUAAAGUUGUACUAAGUUUAAGACAUUUAUUUUGAGACGGAGGAAGUAUUACUAAUUGUGAUGCAUUUGCACGAGGAAGGCUAAUGGAAACGAAGAAAGAAAAAGGAAGGUGGCUCUCGCUCGAAAUUUUCGCGAGCGAUUUCAUGUUCCGCCGUUUUAAUUUGGCGACGUUGCUUGCAAAACAUGCAUGGAUAUUCUGGGCCACGACGCUAGCUCGUAAAAAGAGUGUAUUUUGUGGUAUCAAAUAUUCCUAUAUCGGCUGUGUCUAGCUAUGCAAUGCUCUGAGCUAGUUCAGCUUUGACAGAUAUGGUUAAGGCAUCUCCAACGGCGUUUAAAAUGGACACACCAAACGUUUCACACGACCAUGUCCGGACGUUUGUUUAAUUUACACAAAUGAUAAGUACCACAUGUCAGGUGUGCGGACUCCGGGCCCGAUAUUUUUCGAUGACGUUUCACACGACCAUGUCCGGACGUUUGUUUAAUUUACACAAAUGAUAAGUACCACAUGUCAGGUGUGUGGACUCCGGGCCCGAUAUUUUUCGAUGACGUUUCACACGACCAUGUCCGGACGUUUGUUUAAUUUACAAAAAUGAUAAGUACCACAUGUCAGGUGUGUGGACUCCGGGCCCGAUAUUUUUCGAUGACAAUUUUAGAUUUUCGGCCUGCCGCGCCCGGGCCACAGGAUCCACCAACCCCGCGUCGUCCGCACCGUUGGAUACGCAUGCAACAUUUUUCUUCCUAUGCAGCAAAAUUUCGAUGCCAUGCAGUAAAUUUUUCAACGGUUGCAAUAAAAAUAAAAUUUGUAGCAAAAAAAAUCUACGUGAUCGUAGCAAAAAAACGAAGCUGAUGGUACGUGGUAGCAAAAGUCAAACGCCGGUUGUAACAAAAAUUUACGUGACGUGUAUGCAACUUUUUAGUGAACGGUUGCAGCAAAACAUGAUGCCGGUUGUAGCAAAAAUUAAUACGGUUGUAGCAAAAAGUAAAAAACAUCGAUUGUAACAAAGAAUCCGACGAACUAGAGUUGCAACCAAACUUAUAUGCAGCUUUUUUACUAAGACAAAAUAUAGUAAAAAAACGCUUGCAGCAAAAAUAACGCAGGUUGCAACAUUUUUAGACGAAAAAUGUUGCAUCCAUUGACCGAAGAAGCGCGCGGCUGGGAAAAAUGUUGCAAGGCCCGCCCGCGCCAGGGGCGACCGGCGCGUCGGUUCGUCCGACGCGCGGGUGGGAAACGAUUCCCAUUUCAGUCACCCAAAGAUGACAAAUUUUAAUGACACAUGGCAAGUUUCUGUCAAAAACAAACUGAAUCACAAAAGUUGACAUCUUCGCGUCACUAAAUAUGUCAUAAAAAACAUUCAGAGUUGCUAUAUGCUCAUGCCACACGUUAGGUACUUCUCAGGGUCCUAAUUUUAAUGGUUAAUUGGUUUCUUCUAACUUAGAACAGGAAAGUUGCAAUGAAUAUAUUUUUCUAUAAUGUACGAAUAUUUUGGUUCCCAUAGAAAAAUGUUUUGCCGUGAGCAAUUUUUCCAUGUUUGUUUUCAGUGAAGUAAAUAUUGCAUCACUUUAGUUAUACGUAAGUCACGCCAAUUUUAAAUUUGCGUAAUUCGGUUUUCUGACCAUUGAUUAUUUUGUCAUGAUUCAUGUUAUUUUCUUUUCUUGUGUUGUUUAGGCUGAGUUGACUUGCCCUUGUUUGGGGUAAGUCAUUUUUUCUUAUGCUGGAUUUUUGACUUGCCCUUGUUUCUGGUAAGUCGAUUUUGGGCUUGAAGCCCCUUACACAUUUCACUUUGUUUUUGCUUUUUAUUUUUAUUUUUAGCCUAUUUUUCGUUUGUCUACAAGAAUAUUUUUUGCGUAUUGGACGAGUAAAAAUGCAUACACAUAAGUACUAUAUAGUAUGUGUGUAGAUUACACUAUAAUGUGAAAAGUAUACAAUUAUAUGCUUACCCUUUGCAUAUUUUACAAGUACAAUUUUCACUGCAAAGUUGUGUGCAAGUUUGUGCUAAAUAUAUAUUUCAUUCUUAAGGAUAAUACCAAAUGUCAAUAACAUUCUUCCAUACAGUAGAUCAUUGUUUUGAUUUAGUUUUAAUUAUAUUUCAUUUUCUUUCUUAUUUAAGAGUAAUACCAAUGCCACUAAUUCAUUCCUUCUUAUAAAACUUUUUUUUAGAAAUACCACUAUUAUAUGUUUAUUCUUGCAUAUUUUCAAGAAAGUAACUUCUGUUUAAAAUAUGUGAAAUUUUUAUCAUUUAUUUUUCUUGAAGGGUAAUAAUAAUGCCACUAAUUAAUUCUUCCAUAGAAAAUUUGUUAUUUUAUUCCAGUUUUUGUUUCGUUUAUUUCUUCUUAGAGUGUAAUACAAAUGUCACUAAUUUAUUCUUCCUUAUAUUGUAUUUAUUUUGAUCAUGUUCUGGUCUAUAUUUAUUUUAUUUUGUAUUUAAGGGUAAUACCAAUGUCUAUAAUUCAUUUCUUCUUAGGAUUUCUUUUUUGCGAAAAUUCCACCAUUAUAUAUUAUCUUGCAUACACAAUUAUUGUGUAAAUUGCGUGCAAGUUUCGAAAUUCUUUGAUGCAGAUUGUUUUUCAUUCUCUUUCUUCAUAAAACAUAAUAUACAUAUGACACUAAUUAAUCGUUCCUUAGAGAACUUCAUAUUUUAGUUUUAUCGUAGUUCAUAUUACAAAUGCCAUUAACUCAUUGUUUCUUAGGAAAUGCCUUUAUUAUGAUUUUGUUUUAGUUUAUAUUUUGAGCCUACCUAGUGCAACAAGGCAGGAGUACCUCACCCCUCUCGCUCUCACGACCGUGUCGCCCCCGCGGGGGACAGGCCGCGCCAGGGCCCUUCUCCUCUAGCUCUCCCCCAUCACUCCCUCCUCACCGCCGUAGCCGGAGCCCAUUGUUGGGCAUGGCGCGUGCGACGCCUGCGGCGGCGGCCCCUGGCCAUUCCUCUCUAGAUUGCUCUCCUGCAUGGGACGGAGCGGCGCCGGGGGGUGUUCCUAGGCGGCGGCGGUCCGACAUGGCGACGGGAUUUCCUGGUGCGAUCCGGGAGAUCGGAUGGGUGGUGGCGGCGGCGUUGGAGGCGGGGUGGCGUGGUGGCACGGCCUGGCGGCACCCGCUUAGCCCACAUGUGGGCCCUUUAGGGGCCCAUCGGGGUCUGGGCGGGUCGACGGCGUGGCGGGUCGGCGGCGUGGCUUCCGGAAGAUAGGGGAGUGGCGAUGGGCUGUGGGUUGCUGGCGCCUCCCUGCUGCAGCGUGGCCGACGGGGAUUAGUGGGCCCGAUUCAGGCCCGGCAGGACCAGGGGUGGCCUGGUUUACCAUGCUACUGCGUCCGGUCGGCGAGUGAGGCGGUGCCGGAGGCAGGGGUCCUCCACACGACCGUGGUGGGGGUGGUUCCCUCCCGCGCGGCUACAAUGUUGCUGCUCCCGUCGUGAAGCACCCUCUCUCCAUCCUCUUGGCCUCGUGGUGGUGAUCUCAGUGAGGCAGCAUGGGUGGCGUCGCGACCGCAGUGGCGCAUGCUGGUGGGCGGCAGGUUGGCUGGUUGGCUCCGGUCCGGUUGGGCGGCGGGGUUUGGAGUGCGGGAGAAAUCCUUGCCGGUUAUUCCCGCUCCGAUGCGGUGACACGUGCGGCUGCCACCAUUCCUUCUUGGAGGGUGUCAGCGGUCUCCAUCCCCCACUCCCCUCCGUGUACCAGGGGAAAUCCUAGGACACGUCCGUGCAGCAGCAGCAUCGCAUCCCUUGUUGGAGGUGCUUCUUGGUACACGGAGGAUCGGAGCCUUGGAUCGUUCUGGGUCGAUUCCGAAGGGCGCAGCGGUUGCGGUUCAUCCGCACUUUGUCAAGCUGCCGGUGUUGGCAUUGUUUCUUUCUCUUUUGUUUUUUUUGGUUUGUUGUGCUGCUCACCACAGCGUUUGCUCUGUAACCGCUGUUGGUUGCUUUGUAAUACAAAGCGGGGAGAAACCCUUUUUCGGUAGUUUAUAUUUUCAUUUUAUUUAUUCUUUAAGUGUUAUACUAAUGCCACUAAUUUUUGCUUUAAAAACUAUAUUAUUUAUGUGUAAUUUCAAUAUUGUAUGCUUAUCCUUGCAUAUUAUAACAAAGCGCAAUUUGGGUUGUGUAAUUUUUUUUUGAUUAUUUAUUUAUUUAUGUUUCCUAUCUUCUUAAAGGGUAAUAUUAGUGCCACUAACUUAUUCGUGCUUAGAAAACUUCAUUAUUUUGAUUUUUUAUCUACUUGUUAUUUCAUUUUGUUUCUUCUUUAAAGUAAUAUCAAUUCCGCUGAUUCAUUCCUUCUUAGAAAAUAUUUUGUUGCCAAAUUUCCACUAUUAUAUGCUUAUUCUUCUACAUGAUAAACAACACAAUUUCUGUGUAAAUUGUGUGCAAAUAUUGCAAGUACUUGUAUUUUCUUCUACAUUUUUGAAGGGUAAUACUCGUGCCACUAAUUCAUUCUUUCAUACAUAACUUAUUNNNNNNNNNNNNNNNNNNNNNNNNNNNNNNNNNNNNNNNAUACAUAACUUAUUUUUUUUAAUUUCUUAAUUUUAUUUGUGUUCAUUUAUUAUCGUUCUUGUCUUAUAUAUUAUUAGGUAUCAUGUCAUUUUUGUUUGUGUAUUUCAGACCAAGCUCAAGUAUCGGAUGGGCUUCUGUUUAUUGGUUGCAUAGGGCCGAGUGCUUCUCUAAAAAGUCGAUCGAGACCAAUUUAUUUUAACGUAUGUCUUUACUCAUAAGAAAAGUAACCAGUACAAAUAAAAUCAUUUUUUUAUGUCCCGUGCAUUGAUAUUUCUGGAUCCAAUUUUAAUUUUAUUCUUUUUUCAUUUUACCUUACGUAUAAAAGAAAAGAUGGAGUUUUGUGUAAGUCAAAGCAGCUUGCAUGCAUGCAUGGUGAAAGUUACCAAAAGGUCGGCCGUUAUGAGGCUUCCGCUUUACUCCCUCUGUACCGAAAUAUUUAUAGCUGUUGUAGGCUAAGGAGUAGUUUGCGCUUGCAUACGGGCAGAACGUCAAUCAAUGAUACCUAGCCAGUCCCAUAUUUCAUGGCGAAUGGCGUGUGAGGACUUCCCUAAAAAGGUUAAAAGGAUGUACAGCACAAGAAGGCAUGUCAUACAGGGAAGUCGUCCAGAUGCUAUUUAGAAAAUUUUAGUUUUUGCACAUUUAUCAGAAAUCUAGCCUAUUCGUGAUACAAAUUGAACAAAUGGGUAACGAAACCCUGCAUAAGUGUCUUUAUUUGACAAAACUACAACAUUGUGCCCACAGAUCUACGCUAAAGUGGGUAGUACAAGAUUAUGCAUAUGAAAACUAUAAAGGUCUAAUUGCAUAUAAUGAUGGCUGGGAAGAAAAUGAAGGAUCUAAUAACCACGCGCCACACGAUAUAUGCUCAUCGUGGAGGUGGUGGGGAGCUCAAUGGCCGAGCUAGGGUGUUCUGCACUGGCGGUCGAGUCAACGGAAAGUGCAUCGGCAAUGUCCCACUCUUCUGCACCGGCAGUGGAGGUGGCAUUGGCUGCACCGCGNNNNNNNNNNNNNNNNNNNNNNNNNNNNNNNNNNNNNNNNNNNNNNNNNNNNNNNNNNNNNNNNNNNNNNNNNNNNNNNNNNNNNNNNNNNNNNNNNNNNNNNNNNNNNNNNNNNNNNNNNNNNNNNNNNNNNNNNNNNNNNNNNNNNNNNNNNNNNNNNNNNNNNNNNNNNNNNNNNNNNNNNNNNNNNNNNNNNNNNNNNNNNNNNNNGCUGGUGGUGAAAGAGGCGGUGGAGGUGGCAUUGGCUGCACUGCGUUCUUCCGCGCUGGCGGUGAAGGAGGCGGUGGCGACCGCAAAGGCUGAAUUCCGUUCUUCUUUGUUGGUGGUGGAUGUGGUGGCGCUGACCAUCGGCGCCGAUUUGGUAUCGGUGCCGGAGGCAGUUUGCCUAUCCGUUUCCCAUGUAUACCAACUUUUGGCGCUUUUUUUGCCGGCUUCCCUAGUGCACUAACCCAGGACAAUGGUGUUGAGGUGGAUAGAACAACAAAGAUGGCGAGGACGACGAAGAUCUUGAACAGUUUCAUAAUGUCCUAUGGACAAUUACUUCUCAGUGGUAUCUCGUGAGCUCAACUUAUAGUCAAAUGAUGGUUCACUGUUGACUUGACUUGUAACCUUCGUGGAAAUUUGUGAAAAUUUGGGUGGUGGACUUGACUCGCUCCUGCUCGGAAAAUCAGGUGAACACCUAGAUUAGAGGCCACACAUGGCGCUUGUCUAGCAUCCAAUGCCGCCCGUUCAGAACAAGAAACAUAAGUUUGAUAAUCUCAAGGAAGAAAAGACAUACUACAAUCGAUUUUCAUUUGUACGAAGAGUAAAAGGAAACAGCAUGGAGUAAGAAAAGAAAAGAAAAAGGCUCUCUUCUGCCAUGUGAUGCAGGCCGGCCCAUCAUACGUACGACAAGGCCGAACAGGAUGUCAUGGGCCCAGUUAUGGAGGACGAGCCCCUCAAAAUGAAAGUUAUGGAAGACGAAGCUUCUUCUUGUGAUCUUGUCUCCUCUUUUGAACAUGGUCAUCCAUGACCAUCUAUUGCCAAACUGAUCACCUACCUCACGAACUCCGACGAUCCCGGAGAACAUUUUCUGGCAGGACCACGGCCGCGCAAUCAUCCGCCGCCGUCGACGGUCGACGUUGUCACCAUCCAUCCGCAAGCGCGCGCCACGAACGGGAGAGCAGGCCAGCGAGCCGGACGACGGAACUGAAGAGGAAGAAGGAUUGAUCAAGCGGCCAUGGCGAGACCCAUGGACUGCGACCUGGACCGCGAGCUCCAGAACGUGUCCCUGGACACCCUCUUCCUCAUCAUCCUCCAGGCCGUCGUCGUCGUCGCCCUCGGCAAGUUCAUCCACCUCUCCCUCCGCCGCCACAACCAGCCCAGCGCCAUCUCCCAGAUCCUCGUACGCACCCACCCAUUGCACGCACGCACGCAUGCAUGCACACGAUUUUCCUUCUUCUUCUUCUUCUCCCGAUGGCCAUGCGUAUGAACCUUUGCUCCA
This 9328-nucleotide long non-coding RNA is filed under the name Hordeum vulgare. Its description in RNAcentral is "long non-coding RNA (HVUL_LNC013678)". Lineage: Eukaryota; Viridiplantae; Streptophyta; Magnoliopsida; Poales; Poaceae. The record is from RNAcentral.